GGGGUUGUAGCUCAGUUGGUAGAGCAUUAGAAUCGCACUCUAAGGGUCGCCGGUUCGAAUCCGGUCAACUCCA
RNAcentral lists this transfer RNA (73 nucleotides) under Deltaproteobacteria bacterium. Its description in RNAcentral is "tRNA-Ala". It matches the Rfam family "tRNA". From Rfam's summary of the family: Transfer RNA (tRNA) molecules are approximately 80 nucleotides in length. The record is from RNAcentral. Lineage: Bacteria; Pseudomonadati; Myxococcota; Myxococcia.